UACCAGCUCUUCGAGUGGUGUGGAUGUUUAUUGGGCCUAAAGCAUCCGUAGCUGGCUGGGCAAGUCCCCUGUUAAAUCCACCGAUUUAAUCGUUGGAGUGCGGGGGAUACUGUUCGGCUAGUGGACGGGAGAGGCAGACGGUAUUUUCGGGGUAGGGGUGAAAUCCUAUAAUCCCGGGAAGACCACCAGUGGCGAAGGCUGUCUGCUAGAACGCGCCCGACGGUGAGGGAUGAAAGCUGGGGGAGCGAACCGGAUUAGAUACCCGGGUAGUCCCAGCUGUAAACGAUGCAGGCUAGGUGUUUGGGCGGCCACGUGCCGCUCUAGUGCCGCAGGGAAGCCGUUAAGCCUGCCGCCUGGGGAGUACGGCCGCAAGGCUGAAACUUAAAGGAAUUGGGCGGGGAGCACCACAAGGGGUGAAGCUUGCGGUUU
Molecule: ribosomal RNA, 429 nt
Filed under: uncultured archaeon
Lineage: Archaea
Description: bacterial SSU rRNA
Rfam family: Archaeal small subunit ribosomal RNA
Source: RNAcentral